UACGUAGGGUGCAAGCGUUGUCCGGAAUUAUUGGGCGUAAAGAGCUCGUAGGCGGUCUGUCGCGUCUGCUGUGAAAAUCCAGGGCUCAACCCUGGACCUGCAGUGGGUACGGGCAGACUAGAGUGCGGUAGGGGAGAUCGGAAUUCCUGGUGUAGCGGUGAAAUGCGCAGAUAUCAGGAGGAACACCGGUGGCGAAGGCGGAUCUCUGGGCCGUAACUGACACUGAGGGACGAAAGCUAGGGGAGCGAAUGGG
This 253-nucleotide ribosomal RNA is filed under the name uncultured bacterium. RNAcentral's name for it is "partial 16S ribosomal RNA". It matches the Rfam family "Bacterial small subunit ribosomal RNA", at positions 524 to 776 of the family's 1533-position model. The record is from RNAcentral.